ACGCACGCUGGCGGCGUGCUUCACCCAUGCCGGUCGCACGGUGAAGGGAUCAGCUUGCUGGUUCUGGAUGAGUGGCGAACGGGUGAGUAACACGUGAGUAACCUGCCCCCUUCUUCUGGAUAACCGCAUGAAAGUGUGGCUAAUACGGGAUAUUCUGCGCCUGCUGCAUGGUGGGUGUGGGAAAGAUAUUGUUUCGGUGGGGGAUGGGCUCGCGGCCUAUCAGCUUGUUGGUGGGGUGAUGGCCUACCAAGGCGGUGACGGGUAGCCGGCCUGAGAGGGUGGACGGUCACACUGGGACUGAGACGCGGCCCAGGCUCCUACGGGAGGCAGCAGUGGGGAAUAUUGCACAAUGGGCGCAAGCCUGAUGCAGCGACGCCGCGUGAGGGAUGGAGGCCUUCGGGUUGUGAACCUCUUUCGCCAGUGAAGCAGGCCUGUCCCUUGUGGGUGGGUUGACGGUAGCUGGAUAAGAAGCGCCGGCUAACUACGUG
This 488-nucleotide ribosomal RNA is filed under the name uncultured bacterium. RNAcentral describes it as "partial 16S ribosomal RNA". It matches the Rfam family "Bacterial small subunit ribosomal RNA", at positions 29 to 507 of the family's 1533-position model. The record is from RNAcentral.